This 77-nucleotide transfer RNA is filed under the name Beggiatoa leptomitoformis. RNAcentral describes it as "tRNA-Ile". It matches the Rfam family "tRNA". From Rfam's summary of the family: Transfer RNA (tRNA) molecules are approximately 80 nucleotides in length. Lineage: Bacteria; Pseudomonadati; Pseudomonadota; Gammaproteobacteria; Thiotrichales; Thiotrichaceae. The record is from RNAcentral.
GGGCCUGUAGCUCAGUUGGUUAGAGCUGCGGACUCAUAAUCCGUCGGUCGCAGGUUCAAGUCCUGCCGGGCCCACCA